RNAcentral lists this ribosomal RNA (253 nucleotides) under uncultured bacterium. Its description in RNAcentral is "partial 16S ribosomal RNA". It matches the Rfam family "Bacterial small subunit ribosomal RNA", at positions 524 to 776 of the family's 1533-position model. The record is from RNAcentral.
UACGGGGGGGGCAAGCGUUGUUCGGAAUUACUGGGCGUAAAGGGCGCGUAGGCGGCCUUCUAAGUCGGACGUGAAAUCCCUCGGCUUAACCGAGGAACUGCGUCCGAUACUGAAAGGCUUGAAUCCGGGAGAGGGAUGUGGAAUUCCAGGUGUAGCGGUGAAAUGCGUAGAUAUCUGGAGGAACACCGGUGGCGAAGGCGGCGAUCUGGGUCGAUACUGACGCUGAGGUGCGAAAGCGUGGGGAGCAAACAGG